RNAcentral lists this ribosomal RNA (390 nucleotides) under uncultured Glomeromycotina. Its description in RNAcentral is "SSU rRNA". It matches the Rfam family "Eukaryotic small subunit ribosomal RNA", at positions 704 to 1092 of the family's 1831-position model. The record is from RNAcentral. Lineage: Eukaryota; Fungi; Glomeromycota.
UGACGAACCAUGAUGUCAUUUAUUUGGUGUUGUGGGGAAUCAGGACUGUUACUUUGAAAAAAUUAGAGUGUUUAAAGCAGGCUCACGCUUGAAUACAUUAGCAUGGAAUAAUGAAAUAGGACGUUUGAUUCUAUUUUGUUGGUUUCUAGGAUCGACGUAAUGAUUAAUAGGGAUAGUUGGGGGCAUUAGUAUUCAAUUGUCAGAGGUGAAAUUCUUGGAUUUAUUGAAGACUAACUACUGCGAAAGCAUUUGCCAAGGAUGUUUUCAUUAAUCAAGAACGAAAGUUAGGGGAUCGAAGACGAUCAGAUACCGUCGUAGUCUUAACCAUAAACUAUGCCGACUAGGGAUCGGAUGAUGUUAAUUUUUUAAUGACUCAUUCGGCGCCUUACG